Molecule: ribosomal RNA, 870 nt
Filed under: uncultured archaeon
Lineage: Archaea
Description: bacterial SSU rRNA
Rfam family: Archaeal small subunit ribosomal RNA
Source: RNAcentral
CUGGUUGAUCCUGCCAGACCCGACUGCUAUCGGAUUGGGACUAAGCCAUGCGAGUCAACUCCGCAAGGGGUGGCGCACGGCUCAGUAACACGUAGUCAACCUACCCUGGGGACGGGGAUAACCUCGGGAAACUGAGGCUAAACCCCGAUGGGCCAUGGCUCCUGGAAUGGGCUAUGGCUGAAAUCUACAUGGCCCCAGGAUGGGACUGCGGCCGAUCAGGUUGUUGGUGGGGUAAUGGCCCACCAAGCCUAUAACCGGUGCGGGCUCUGAGAGGAGGAGCCCGGAGAUGGGCACUGAGACAAGGGCCCAGGUCCUAUGGGGCGCAGCAGGCGCGAAACCUCCGCAAUGGGCGAAAGCCCGACGGGGUCAGUCCGAGUGGUUCCCGCUGAGGGAACCUUUUGCCAGCUGUAAACAGGCUGGCGAAUAAGGGGUGGGCAAGUUUGGUGUCAGCCGCCGCGGUAAUACCAGCACCCCGAGUGGUCGGGACGAUUAUUGGGCCUAAAGCAUCCGUAGCCGGCCCAGUAAGUCCUCCGUUAAAUCCAACGGCUCAACCGUUGGGCUGCGGGGGAUACUGCUGGGCUAGGGGACGGGAGAGGCGAGGGGUAUUCCCGGGGUAGGGGUAAAAUCCAGUGAUCCCGGGAGGACCACCAGUGGCGAAGGCGCCUCGCUAGAACGUGCCCGACGGUGAGGGAUGAAAGCUGGGGGAGCGAACCGGAUUAGAUACCCGGGUAGUCCCAGCCGUAAACGAUGUAGGCUCGGUGUUGGGCUGCCUCAGUGGCAGCCCAGUGCCGCAGGGAAGCCGUUAAGCCUACCGCCUGGGGAGUACGGCCGCAAGGCUGAAACUUAAAGGAAUUGGCGGGGGAGCACCAC